Molecule: transfer RNA, 73 nt
Filed under: Ixodes scapularis (black-legged tick)
Lineage: Eukaryota; Metazoa; Arthropoda; Arachnida; Ixodida; Ixodidae
Rfam family: tRNA
About the family: Transfer RNA (tRNA) molecules are approximately 80 nucleotides in length. Their secondary structure includes four short double-helical elements and three loops (D, anti-codon, and T loops).
Source: Rfam by way of RNAcentral
ACCCGUUUGCUCUACUGGCAAGAGCGCUCCACUGGAAAUGGAGAGGUCCUUGGUUCUAUACCAGGAGCAGGCG